This 202-nucleotide ribosomal RNA is filed under the name uncultured bacterium. RNAcentral's name for it is "partial 16S ribosomal RNA". It matches the Rfam family "Bacterial small subunit ribosomal RNA", at positions 328 to 539 of the family's 1533-position model. The record is from RNAcentral.
ACGCUCGACACCUACGGGAGGCAGCAGUUAGGAAUAUUGGGCAAUGGAGGGAAACUCUGACCCAGCAACGCCGCGUGAAGGAAGAAGGUUUUCGGAUUGUAAACUUCUGAUCUAGGGGAAGAAGGAAGUGACGGUACCCUAGGAGAAAGCCACGGCUAACUACGUGCCAGAAGCCGCGGUAAUCUGAGCGGGCUGGCAAGGC